Molecule: ribosomal RNA, 200 nt
Filed under: uncultured bacterium
Lineage: Bacteria
Description: partial 16S ribosomal RNA
Rfam family: Bacterial small subunit ribosomal RNA
Source: RNAcentral
UACGAAGGUCCCAAGCGUUGUUCGGAUUUACUGGGCGUAAAGCGUCUGUAGGCGGGAUGGUAAGUCAGAUGUGAAAUCCCGGGGCUCAACCCCGGAACUGCAUCCGAUACUGCCAACCUAGAGGGUCGGAGGGGAGUCUGGAAUUCUCGGUGUAGCAGUGAAAUGCGUAGAUAUCGAGAGGAACACUAGUGGCGAAGGCG